RNAcentral lists this unclassified non-coding RNA (376 nucleotides) under soil metagenome. RNAcentral's name for it is "partial contains 5.8S ribosomal RNA, internal transcribed spacer 2, and large subunit ribosomal RNA". The stretch from base 1 to 120 matches the Rfam family "5.8S ribosomal RNA", at positions 35 to 154 of the family's 154-position model. The record is from RNAcentral.
GAUGAAGAACACAGCGAAAUGCGAUAAGUAAUGUGAAUUGCAGAAUUCAGUGAAUCAUCGAAUCUUUGAACGCAUCUUGCGCUCCUUGGUAUUCUGAGGAGCAUGCCUGUUUGAGUGUCAUUAAAUUCUCAACUACACUGACUUUGAAUUGGUGUGGCUUGGAUUUGGGGGGAAAAUUGUUGUGGGCUUUUUGUAUAGUCUGCUCCCCUGAAAUUGAUUAGCGGUACCUUUGUGGAACUGUCUACAGGUGUGAUAAUUAUCUACAUCUUAGACAUCUGCUGGAAUGCUGCUUUCUAAACCUUACUUGUAUUGACAAUCUUGACCUCAAAUCAGGUAGGACUACCCGCUGAACUUAAGCAUAUCAAUAAGCGGAGGA